RNAcentral lists this non-coding RNA (299 nucleotides) under Chlorocebus sabaeus (green monkey). Lineage: Eukaryota; Metazoa; Chordata; Mammalia; Primates; Cercopithecidae. The record is from RNAcentral.
AAGAGACAGGGUCUCGCUAUGUUGCCCAGGCUGGAGUGCAGUGGCUAUUCACAGGCGCGAUCCCACUACUGAUCAGCACGGGAGUUUUGACCUGCUCCGUUUCCGACCUGGGCCGGUUCACCCCUCCUUAGGCAACCUGGUGGUCCCCCGCUCCCGGGAGGUCACCAUAUUGAUGCCGAACUUAGUGCGGACACCCGAUCGGCAUAGCGCACUACAGCCCAGAACUCCUGGACUCAAGCGAUCCUCCAGCCUCAGCCUCCCUAGUAGCUGGGACUACAGGCACGCGCCACCGCGCCCGG